GAUGAAGAACGCAGCGAAAUGCGAUAAGUAAUGCGAAUUGCAGAAUUCCAGUGAGUCAUCGAAUCUUUGAACGCACAUUGCGCCCGCCAGUAUUCUGGCGGGCAUGCCUGUUCGAGCGUCAUUUCAACCCUCAAGACCCCUUCGGGGGACUUGGUGUUGGGGACCGGCACAGGGGCCUGCCUGCUUGUCUUGCAGCGCCCUCGCCGCCCCCGAAAUGAAUUGGCGGCCUCAUCGCGGCCUCCCCUGCGUAGUAGCACAACCUCGCAACGGGAACGUGACGGCGGCCACUGCCGUAAAACAACCCAAUUUUAUUAGAGUUGACCUCGAAUCAGGUAGGAAUACCCGCUGAACUUAAGCAUAUCAAUAAGCGGAGGA
Molecule: unclassified non-coding RNA, 375 nt
Filed under: soil metagenome
Description: partial contains 5.8S ribosomal RNA, internal transcribed spacer 2, and large subunit ribosomal RNA
Rfam family: 5.8S ribosomal RNA (bases 1-121)
Source: RNAcentral